GAUGAACGCUGGCGGCGUGCCUAAUACAUGCAAGUCGAGCGAACAGACGAGGAGCUUGCUCCUCUGACGUUAGCGGCGGACGGGUGAGUAACACGUGGAUAACCUACCUAUAAGACUGGGAUAACUUCGGGAAACCGGAGCUAAUACCGGAUAAUAUAUUGAACCGCAUGGUUCAAUAGUGAAAGACGGUUUUGCUGUCACUUAUAGAUGGAUCCGCGCCGCAUUAGCUAGUUGGUAAGGUAACGGCUUACCAAGGCAACGAUGCGUAUCCGACCGGAGAGUGUGAGCGGCCACACGGGAACGGAGACACGGGCCAGACGCCGACGGGAGGCAGCAGUGGGGAAUAUUGGACAAGGGGCGCAAGCCUGAGCCAGCAAUACCGCGUGGGUGAAGAAGGCCUUCGGGUUGUAAAGCCCUGUUAUUGGGAAAGAAAAGAAGCAGAUGAAAACCCCGCUGUCCUGGCGGUACCCAAAGAAUAAGCACCGGCUAACUUCGUG
This 497-nucleotide ribosomal RNA is filed under the name uncultured bacterium. RNAcentral's name for it is "partial 16S ribosomal RNA". It matches the Rfam family "Bacterial small subunit ribosomal RNA", at positions 28 to 507 of the family's 1533-position model. The record is from RNAcentral.